Molecule: ribosomal RNA, 301 nt
Filed under: uncultured bacterium
Lineage: Bacteria
Description: partial 16S ribosomal RNA
Rfam family: Bacterial small subunit ribosomal RNA
Source: RNAcentral
CAGUAGCCGCGGUAAUACAGAGGGUGCGAGCGUUAAUCGGAUUUACUGGGCGUAAAGCGUGCGUAGGCGGCUUCUUAAGUCGGAUGUGAAAUCCCUGAGCUUAACUUAGGAAUUGCAUUCGAUACUGGGAAGCUAGAGUAUGGGAGAGGAUGGUAGAAUUCCAGGUGUAGCGGUGAAAUGCGUAGAGAUCUGGAGGAAUACCGAUGGCGAAGGCAGCCAUCUGGCCUAAUACUGACGCUGAGGUACGAAAGCAUGGGGAGCAAACAGGAUUAGAUACCCCUGUAGUCCCUGUCUCUUAUCA